AAAGGAAUAGACGGGUCCCCGCACAAGCAGCGGAGCGUGUGGUUUAAUUCGAGGCUACGCGAAGAACCUUACCAGGGUUUGACAUGCUAGUGGUAGUGAAGCGAAAGCGGAACGACCCUUCGGGGAGCUAGCACAGGUGCUGCAUGGCUGUCGUCAGCUCGUGUCGUGAGAUGUCAGGUUAAGUCCUGUAACGAGCGCAACCCUCGUCGUUAGUUACAAGUGUCUAACGAGACUGCCCGUGAUAAGCGGGAGGAAGGUGAGGAUGAUGUCAAGUCAGCAUGGCCUUUAUAUCCUGGGCUACACACACGCUACAAUGGCCAGUACAAUGGGUUGCCAAGUCGCGAGACGGAGCCAAUCCCGCAAAGCUGGUCUCAGUUCGGAUUGCAGGCUGCAACUCGCCUGCAUGAAGUCGGAGUUGCUAGUAACCGCGCGUCAGCACAGUGCGGUGAAUACGUUCCCGGGGAUUGUACACACCGCCCGU
RNAcentral lists this ribosomal RNA (481 nucleotides) under uncultured bacterium. RNAcentral's name for it is "bacterial SSU rRNA". It matches the Rfam family "Bacterial small subunit ribosomal RNA", at positions 903 to 1397 of the family's 1533-position model. The record is from RNAcentral.